This 484-nucleotide ribosomal RNA is filed under the name uncultured bacterium. Its description in RNAcentral is "partial 16S ribosomal RNA". It matches the Rfam family "Bacterial small subunit ribosomal RNA", at positions 30 to 507 of the family's 1533-position model. The record is from RNAcentral.
AUUGAACGCUGGCGGCAGGCCUAACACAUGCAAGUCGAGCGGAUGAAGGGAGCUUGCUCCUGGAUUCAGCGGCGGACGGGUGAGUAAUGCCUAGGAAUCUGCCUGGCAGUGGGGGAUAACGUCCGGAAACGGGCGCUAAUACCGCAUACGUCCUGAGGGAGAAAGUGGGGGAUCUUCGGACCUCACGCUAUCAGAUGAGCCUAGGUCGGAUUAGCUAGUUGGUGGGGUAAAGGCCUACCAAGGCGACGAUCCGUAACUGGUCUGAGAGGAUGAUCAGUCACACUGGAACUGGAACACGGUCCAGACUCCUACGGGAGGCAGCAGUGGGGAAUAUUGGACAAUGGGCGAAAGCCUGAUCCAGCCAUGCCGCGUGUGUGAAGAAGGUCUUCGGAUUGUAAAGCACUUUAAGUUGGGAGGAAGGGCAGUAAGUUAAUACCUUGCUGUUUUGACGUUACCAACAGAAUAAGCACCGGCUAACUUCGUG